AAAAAUUUAAACAUAUUUAAUUUAAAAAUUCCAGCAGUUUUUCCAACGUUAUAAAGGCACACGUGUGGGCUCAGCUCACAGCCAGAUAAGGUUACCAUCUUCUUCUUCUUCUUCCUCAUACUCUCACGACAUUCUUACCUUCUUUCUCUCUGAACGCUUAAAUGCCGAGAAGUUUAGAGCCGUUGGAUCUUGGAAUCCAGAUACCGUACCAUUUCAGAUGUCCAAUCUCAUUAGAGCUGAUGCGCGACCCAGUCACCGUCUGCACCGGUCAAACCUACGAUCGAACAAGCAUCGAAUCAUGGGUCUCCACCGGUAACAACACCACGUGUCCAGUCACACGCGCUCCUUUGUCCGACUUCACACUCAUCCCAAACCACACUCUCCGCCGUCUCAUCCAAGAAUGGUGCGUCGCUAACCGCUCCAACGGCGUCGAGCGUAUCCCCACACCCAAACAGCCAGCUGACCCCACCUCCGUUCGCGCUCUCCUCAGCCAAGCCUCCGCGACUUCCGGAGCUCACGUCUCGGCUCGCUCACGCGCCGCCGCUCUCCGUCGUCUACGUGGCUUCGCGCGGGACUCCGAGAAGAACCGCGUUUUGAUCGCGGCUCAUAACGCUAAAGAGAUUCUGAUUAGGAUCUUGUUCUCCGACGAUAUCGAUUCAUCGGAGUUGGUCUCUGAAUCGCUCGCUCUUCUCGUUAUGUUCCCGAUGACGGAGCAUGAUAAAUGCGUUUCGAUCAUUUCGGAUCCGGGUCGGGUAGAGUUUUUAACCCGGUUACUGUUCGAUUCCUCGGUGGAGACACGUGUCAACGCAGCCGCGUUGAUCGAGAUGGCGGUUACAGGAUCGAAGGAAACGGUUUCGAAUUCCGAAUCCAUUUUCGAAGGAGUCCUCGAUCUUCUACGCAAUCCGGCGUCCUCGUACCCGCGGCGAGCUCUCAAGAUCGGAAUCAAAACGCUCUUCGCGCUCUGCCUCUCGAAGAACACGCGCCACGUCGCGGUCUCCGCCGGCGCGCCGGAGAUUCUGAUCGACAGGCUCGCGGCGGGGUUAGACAGGUGCGACACGGAGCGAGCGUUAGCGACGGUGGAGAUUCUCUGCCGAUCUCCGGAGGGAUGCGCGGCGUUCGGGGAGCACGCUCUGACGGUUCCGGUUCUUGUCAAGACGAUUCUGAGGGUUUCUGAUAGGGCGACGGAGUACGCGGCGGGGGCGCUGCUGGCGCUUUGCACGGCGGAGGAGAGGUGGAGAGACGAGGCGGCGGCGGCGGGAGUGGUGGUUCAGUUGCUGCUGAUGGUGCAGAGUGAGUGUACGGAGAGGGCGAAGAGGAAGGCGCAGAAGCUGCUGAAGCUUCUGAGAGACUCGUGGCCUGACUACUCCUUCGCUAACUCCGAUGAUUUCGCCUGCAGCGAAGUGGUCCCCUUUUGAUUUUUUAAAAUUAAUUUUCUUUUUAUUGUUUCAACAGUAAUUAAUUAUAGUCUUUUAUAUUUUCUGAUAAAAUAGAAGGAAGUGUGGUCAUUUCUUAUGUGUAUUUUGAUGGAAAAUGUGAAUUAAGAAAAGAAAAAAUACAGAAGUUUUGAUGAGCAUAAGUUAGGUUAUAUGCAUUAUAUUGAAGUGUAAGUCACUAAUGUCUCUUCAUAUUGAUUGGCUUUUUGAGUUGGGAAAAGUUGUUAAAAAGCAAAUGGAAGAUAUGCUAAAGUCUUUAAAGUUAUCCUUUCAUUUUCCUCUUUUAGUCUAAAGGCUAGUCAACUUUCUGCAUUACAGUUAUUAAAACAGGUUGUUCAGAUUUAACCCAUUGAGUGGUGUGACUAGGGAUGUUAACAAUGGGUUUUUACCCAUAGGGUACCCUAAACCCGGUUGGAAUUUAAAAACCAAAACCCGUAUAUUCAGUUUUCAAAAUUCGCGGGUUUAUUUUGGGCGGGUCUUGAUUUAUAAAUUACCCGUUCGGGUUUUUGUUAUUAUAAGAAAUAAUUGUCAUCAAUCAUUAAUGUUAUAUUCAUAGCUACAUCUACACCUCACUAAAUACGUUAAAAUAUGUGCAUAUGAUUCUAGUUUGUUAUUUAUAAGAAAUAAAGGUAAUAGGCAUGAUAUAUAUAAGAACAUCUUCAUUUCAACUGCAUAAUAUACUACAAAAUGAAGUGGAAAAUUCAGUCAUGAACAAACAAAAAAGCAUUACUCCAUUUAUAGAGUACUGAUUUUUUUUCUUUCAUGAUAGCAUUUUUCACUCUAUUUUGCAGUAAAAUAUGCAAUUGGAUUGGAAAUGUCCUAAAUUAUAUAGUUUUGUUUUGUUUGCCGGAGAUUUUAAAUCCUAUAAAUCAUAAGGAACAUGCUGGCUCUAGCCAUGGAGAUCUUAACCAUAAUAUAUAGGUUUUGACAUAAAUAUACAUAUAUAAACCGACUCUUUCGAUAUCUGAAUUUUAAUUUCAAAAUACAUAAUUUUGAAACGUUUUAAAGAAUACCAGAAUCAGACUAUCUAUAUAUGAUGAUUUCGAACAAUACUAUUUGUACUAAAACAAUGUUUAGAAUUUAGACAAGAGUAUUUAUAUAUUUAAAUUAAUUGUAUAGCAUUGCUAAAUUUAAAUUCUAUUUUCCGGUAAGAGAUUCUUUGUUUCACCGGGAGAGGAUACAAUGCAUAUGACUACCAAAACAUUCAACAGAAGUAACAAAAGCAAAAAUACAUAAAAGCUUCUUAGUUGUUCCCAUGAGAACAAUGCAAUGACAGACCGGAAGAUUCUGCCCCUUUGUUGUUCAUCACUUUCUUGUCUGCACAUAAACUUAAAUUUAUAAAGAAAUUAUCAAUAAAUUAAAAUCAGAAGAAUUUGAUAAGAAAUAUUAAGGUCCAUUACAUAAGAAGUUAUUAAGGUCCAAGUCCACCUCACGAGUUUAUUUUGAUUUCAAUGUAUUUGUCGUGUAAUAUCUGUCUUCAUUCGAUAAUUUAUUUUAGACAAACAAAACCCUCCACUGACAAAAUUAAAAUUCAUUUAUUUACACAUUUCUCUUUCGGUAUAUAGAGAGCAUCAGAUCUCUACACACUGUGUCGUGAGAAACAAGAUUUGGUUUCAAAAUGUGAUUAUGUUAGCUAGUUUCUUUUGAAUUGAUAGCAGGAAUUUUGAAGGCAACUUUUACAAAAGUCUCAAUAAAGUUAUCGCUGAAGUUUCUACCCUACUUAACGCCAACACAUAAAACAUAUCUUAAAUUUCACUACUUUGAAUGUUUGUAAAUAAUUGAGUGAAGUCUAGAUACUAAAGCGCCAUAUCAAAUCGAUAUAUGGUUUCGAGUUUCGAGUCUCAACUACUACUAAUAUAGCUAGUCAUUGACUUAUCGAAUCAAUAAUAAAGGAGAUGAGAUAAAAGUUACUAACUAGUUUUUGAAUCAGAUGAGCUGCAGACUAGAGAAUAGCUAAUAUUAUAUGACGACUUUCGUCUCUAGAUUUUGUAGAAUUAGGUGUUUCUAACUUUCUAAGACUUCGAAGUAAAAAUAUUGUUUCAUUAUGAAGAAAAAUAAAAACAAAAAAUACAAAACCAAUGAACAAACUGAGAUAAGUAAAGAAAAAAAAAACCAUAGUAUUCCCAUUUCCCUUUGAAAUUGUUAGAUGUUUUGAACCUUUUGCUUUUUGUGUCUUUAAAUUAAAUGCUCUUUUUUUUUAACUUAAAUCUUGUAGUUUUUUUUAAACUUUGGGUAUCAUGCUUAUGGAGAGAUCCAGACUAAUUUCCAAAGAAUGGUGUGAUUUACAAAUGAAUUUUUACUACUACAAAUAUUCGAAUGAGCCGUAAAAUAAGUCCACGAGAUGAAUUGUAGUGUGGACCCGGGUUGUUUGGCAAUCUCAAAAUUUCCUACCAUUAGACCAUCACCUCAUGGUUUGAAAUCUUGUAGUUGAAGAAAUAGUACAAAAGUAGUUAGACAAAUAAACGGAAGAAAUUCAAGAUUUACCACAAAUGACUAGGUUAAAUCUCUUAAUUGAGAUGAUAAGUCUAAGAUGUAUUGUGAUUAAGAUUAGUGAAAGUUGUUGCUGAGAAAAUUUUAGUUUAGAUGAAGGCAUUGAUAGAGAUACGUGCAAAAAGAAAGUGGGGUUAUAUUAGAAUACGUGAAUCAGAAACGAGUCAAAGUUUUUGCCGUAAAAGAAAAAACAGUCAAGGCUUUUAGAUUUGGUUGUAUUAUUAUGGCUAGGCGGUGUGAUUAUCACGGGUCCUUGAUGUUAACUUAAGUAAGUGGAUGUUGUCUUCCCUGGGACCUUCUGCGUUCCUAGUCGUUCGCAAUUCACUGAUUUAGUUUGACCAAAUUAUAAUUCGAGAUCUGAUUUUUAAUACACACAUCAGUGUUUUGGUGGUUGUCUGUAGUGAUUAAAAGCGAUCGAAACUUGAAGCUUGCGACUGAAAAAAGUUUGUUAUGUCAUGAUUAUUCAUAAUUGAGAUUUCUAGAUACGCAAACGUUAAUUAAUUAAACUCGUAUAUUAUGGAAAAAUAUUAACAGAUAUUUACGAUUAAAUGUUACUAUUAUAUUGUUUUAAUUGCUAUCCAUCCAUCCAGGCAUCCAUGCAGUGAACUGAAUUUUCCUGCAACAUGUUUGAUAUGUAAGAAAAAAACAACAUUUCAAUGGCAUCUGGAUUCUCUUAUUAUUGUUUUACAUGUAUUUGGUGAUUUCCAAAAAAAUUAUCGAUGCGUAAGCUUAUCAAAAGAUACAACUACUAUACCAUUACCAAAUGGCAUAUUAUGUUUUUAGUAAAAUAUGGAGCUAUGAUAUUUUUUAAAGCCAAAAUGGGAAAAAAUAAAAUCAAGAUUGAUGGAAAUGAAUUUGAUACGUAGGAUUUGGUAUCAUAAUUUCAGCAUUUCAGAACUAUUGUUGAAAGAAUUGGUUUCUUAUGCAGUGUAAAAAUUAUAGGUCCAUGCAAAAAGUGCUAUCCAUCCAUUCACAUAAAUCGCAUAAGAGAAAGAUUAUAUACGAAAGAAAAUAAUUGAAAUCAACCAUUAUAUAUCUUGCAGGCUAACCCAUUAAUUUCUUUUCUAUGCUACUAUAAUUUACAGGACGUAUAAUAAACACACAAAUACACUCUGUAAGAUAAUCAUAAUACAUAAUUGUAUAUCAUUCACAUAAACCUUAAGCUUCACUUCUAAGAUGCCACUUUUUCCCCCUUAGGAUAUAUAUUACGUAGGUGGCAUCUUAUUCUUAAUGAUGUUCGAUUAAAAAUUUAAACAUAUUUAAUUUAAAAAUUCCAGCAGUUUUUCCAACGUUAUAAAGGCACACGUGUGGGCUCAGCUCACAGCCAGAUAAGGUUACCAUCUUCUUCUUCUUCUUCCUCAUACUCUCACGACAUUCUUACCUUCUUUCUCUCUGAACGCUUAAAUGCCGAGAAGUUUAGAGCCGUUGGAUCUUGGAAUCCAGAUACCGUACCAUUUCAGAUGUCCAAUCUCAUUAGAGCUGAUGCGCGACCCAGUCACCGUCUGCACCGGUCAAACCUACGAUCGAACAAGCAUCGAAUCAUGGGUCUCCACCGGUAACAACACCACGUGUCCAGUCACACGCGCUCCUUUGUCCGACUUCACACUCAUCCCAAACCACACUCUCCGCCGUCUCAUCCAAGAAUGGUGCGUCGCUAACCGCUCC
RNAcentral lists this long non-coding RNA (5588 nucleotides) under Brassica napus (rape). RNAcentral's name for it is "long non-coding RNA (BNAP_LNC000754)". The record is from RNAcentral. Lineage: Eukaryota; Viridiplantae; Streptophyta; Magnoliopsida; Brassicales; Brassicaceae.